Molecule: non-coding RNA, 136 nt
Organism: Hordeum vulgare subsp. vulgare (domesticated barley)
Lineage: Eukaryota; Viridiplantae; Streptophyta; Magnoliopsida; Poales; Poaceae
Source: Rfam
CUUAUACUCCCUCCGUCCCAAAAUUCUUGUUUUACGUUUGUCUAGAAAUGGAUGUAUCUAAAUAUUUAUAUAUGACUAGAUACAUUCAUAUCUAGACAAAUCAAAGACAAGAAUUUCUGGACGGAGGGAGUAUUUG